GAUGAACGCUGGCGGCGUGCCUAAUACAUGCAAGUCGAGCGAACAGACGAUGAGCUUGUUCCUCUGACGUUAGCGGCGGACGGGUGAGUAACACGUGGAUAACCUACCUAUAAGACUGGGAUAACUUCGGGAAACCGGAGAUAAUACCAGAUAAUAUAUUGAACCGCAUGGUUCAAUAGUGAAUGACGGCUUUGCUGUCACUUUUAGAUGGUUCCGCGCUGCCUUAGAUGGUUGGUAAGGUAACGGCCUACCAAGGGAACGAUGCGUAGCCGACCUGAGGGGGGGGUCGACCACAAUGGAAGUGAGACACGGGCCAGGCUCCUUAGGGAAGGAGCAGUAGGGAAACAUACGAAAUGGGGGGAAGCUUGACGGAAGAACGCCGGGUGAGUGAAAGAGGUCUUCCGAGCGGAAAAGUCUGUUAGUAGGGAAAAACAAAUGUGUAAGUAACUAUGCACGGCUUGACGGUACCUAAUAAAAAAGCCACGGCUAAAUACGUG
RNAcentral lists this ribosomal RNA (497 nucleotides) under uncultured bacterium. RNAcentral's name for it is "partial 16S ribosomal RNA". It matches the Rfam family "Bacterial small subunit ribosomal RNA", at positions 28 to 507 of the family's 1533-position model. The record is from RNAcentral.